CUUUCCUUCAUUUCUGUUUUCACAAAUUAGGUUUUAUCUUCGUAAUCCCUUUUGAUUUAGGAUUUCUGUACAAUUUUUUUUUUCACUUUCCCUAGAUGUACUACUGAGUCUCCUUUAAGUAGGUCCUGAGAAAUCUUAUGAAAUUAAAAAGGGAGGAAACAAAGUAUUUAUAGAUUUCCAUGGCUUGGAAAAUUUACUUUUUGAUGUCAAGUUGUGUUAGGACACGAUUGACUACGAGUAGUUUGUUAGUAUCUUUUGUUGUUUCUUCCCUUUUUCUCUUCUUCAUUAUGUUUUUACUUGUUUUGUAGGGGGAAGAGAUUGUGUAUUUUGUAAGUAUCAUGUCCAAUUCCUAAAUCAAUUUGUAAAUAGAUUUUGAAAGACUUAUUACUUGAAUGGAUGCCAUGGAUUCUCUCAUGAAGGGACGAACUGUUCUUGUAAUAGCUCAUUGGCUUUCGACUGUUAAAAGUGCAAACACUGUGGUAGUUAUAUCUGAUAGUAAGGUAGUCUAAAAUGGCACACAAAGAACUCCUUAUGAAGGAUGGCAUCUACGAUGCACUGGUGAGGAGGCAGGUACAAGGACCCCAAAAAGAACUUUGAGUCCAUUCAACCAAAACACUUAGAAGGCAGAAGCAAUCAAUGAGGUUCUAUACUGGAUCAAUGUCAUGAUAAUAAAACACAUUUUUGGGCAUUGGUUCCACAAAUUACUAAUUGUAAGACCUGUGGACAAGAAUUAAAUGAUUCUGUAUUAGAGAGAAGGCUAUAGUGUAAUUUGUGUGGAAGAAUGGAGAAAAUGAGGUUAUUCUUCCUUCGUGUUUAACUCUUAUGUUCCACAUAUGAUCAGCAUGGCUUUGGUGAUUCAUUAUUUUCUAAGGUCAAAGGACACUAGUAUGGAGCCAGCUUAGAUGUAAGAAAGAACUGAAAUGUACAUUGAGAGAUCUAAAAGCUGGCUGAGAAUCUAUUGCCUAAUAUAUUUGUAUGUCAAAAGCUUGGGGAAAGUGAUGUUUUAGAAGUGAGAAAA
Molecule: long non-coding RNA, 1018 nt
Organism: Macadamia integrifolia
Lineage: Eukaryota; Viridiplantae; Streptophyta; Magnoliopsida; Proteales; Proteaceae
Exons: 2
Source: RefSeq, a predicted model, not a curated record